ACACUCCUACGGGAGGCAGCAGUGGGGAAUAUUGCACAAUGGGCGCAAGCCUGAUGCAGCCAUGCCGCGUGUAUGAAGAAGGCCUUCGGGUUGUAAAGUACUUUCAGCGGGGAGGAAGGCAAUACGGUUAAUAACCGUGUUGAUUGACGUUACCCGCAGAAGAAGCACCGGCUAACUCCGUGCCAGCAGCCGCGGUAAUACGGAGGGUGCAAGCGUUAAUCGGAAUUACUGGGCGUAAAGCGCACGCAGGCGGUCUGUCAAGUCGGAUGUGAAAUCCCCGGGCUCAACCUGGGAACUGCAUUCGAAACUGGCAGGCUUGAGUCUUGUAGAGGGGGGUAGAAUUCCAGGUGUAGCGGUGAAAUGCGUAGAGAUCUGGAGGAAUACCGGUGGCGAAGGCGGCCCCCUGGACAAAGACUGACGCUCAGGUGCGAAAGCGUGGGGAGCAAACAGGAUUAGAUACCCCAGUAGUCCCAUG
This 475-nucleotide ribosomal RNA is filed under the name uncultured organism. RNAcentral's name for it is "partial 16S ribosomal RNA". It matches the Rfam family "Bacterial small subunit ribosomal RNA", at positions 333 to 799 of the family's 1533-position model. The record is from RNAcentral.